CCCUUAGACGUUCUGGGCCGCACGCGCGCUACACUGACCAGUGCAACAAGCAUCCGUCCUUGGCCGACAGGCCCGGGCAAUCUUUGAACGCUGGUCGUGAUGGGGAUAGACUUUUGCAAUUUUUGAUCUUAAACGAGGAAUUCCUAGUAAACGCAAGUCAUCAGCUUGCAUUGAUUACGUCCCUGCCCUUUGUACACACCGCCCGUCGCACCUACCGAUUGAAUGGUCCGGUGAAAUCUCCGGACUGGCGUGAGUCGGAGCAAUCUGACAAACGCCGGAAAGUUGAUUAAACCUUACCAUUUAGAGGAAGGUGAAGUCGUAACA
Molecule: ribosomal RNA, 324 nt
Filed under: uncultured eukaryote
Lineage: Eukaryota
Description: partial 18S ribosomal RNA
Rfam family: Eukaryotic small subunit ribosomal RNA
Source: RNAcentral